GUCGCUGAGAUGAAGACAGCGACCUUACUCCCAGCUUCGCCUCUCAAAGCUCUCAGAAGGGUGGCGACAGUGGCGAGGUGCACACCGAAGGGCGCCCUUUCCCCGGGCAAGCUGCAGCACAACCUCUUGCCAAAGGCGGCUGGGGUCCGUGACGCAGCCGCCUGCCGCGCUCAGGUUGAGGCUGCCGGGAGAGGCAGCGGCGUCGGUCCUGGCCCCUGCUGUCCAGCGGCGCCCCGGUUCUGGGCAGAUCCUGGGCUCAGUGGAGCCAAGGCAGCGCCUGCCCGCACAGCCCGCUCACCAGCGCCUGGCUCUCACAAUGAUGAAGAAGUUUAAGUUUAAGGUGGACUUCCAGCUCGAGGUAUCCUUCUUCAGUGGGGUCCUCUUCUUCAAGAUGUGGCUGCUGGACUGCGGCAGCUUCACUGCAG
This 425-nucleotide long non-coding RNA is filed under the name Marmota monax (woodchuck). The record is from RNAcentral. Lineage: Eukaryota; Metazoa; Chordata; Mammalia; Rodentia; Sciuridae.